GACGGAGGAGGCAAGCGUUAUCCGGAAUUAUUGGGCGUAAAGCGUCCGCAGGUGGCGAUUCAAGUCUGCUGUCAAGGGUCGGGGCUUAACCCCGGGAAGGCAGUGGAAACUGAAUAGCUAGAGUGCGGUAGGGGCAGAGGGAAUUCCCGGUGUAGCGGUGAAAUGCGUAGAGAUCGGGAAGAACACCAGUGGCGAAAGUGCUCUGCGGGGCCUGCACUGACACUGAGGGACGAAAGCUAGGGGAGCGAAAGGG
Molecule: ribosomal RNA, 253 nt
Filed under: uncultured bacterium
Lineage: Bacteria
Description: partial 16S ribosomal RNA
Rfam family: Bacterial small subunit ribosomal RNA
Source: RNAcentral